This 365-nucleotide transfer-messenger RNA is filed under the name Acidimicrobiales. RNAcentral describes it as "MedAcidi-G3 sp000817105 Standard tmRNA". It matches the Rfam family "transfer-messenger RNA". From Rfam's summary of the family: Bacterial tmRNA, also known as 10Sa RNA or SsrA, is named for its dual tRNA and mRNA-like properties. Its role is to liberate the mRNA from a stalled ribosome. RNAcentral also lists the same sequence under 4 other names. The record is from RNAcentral. Lineage: Bacteria; Bacillati; Actinomycetota; Acidimicrobiia.
GGGGGUGAUCGGUUUCGACUUCGACGGUUGAUAUGAGAGAAGCGAGCCGUGGUCUCCGGAGCCACGUUAAAGAGCCGGAACACUUAGAAACGCCAAUGUCAAAACUAAUGACCUGGCGCUCGCUGCCUAAUUUAGGUAACGGGUAACGGCCUCACUGCCUCAGCCUCUCGGGUAGCGGUGGCCCUCAUCUGAGAGGCUUGCCUUCAGUCAUCGCCAGUGUGAUUGAAGGGACUUUUAGCUGGAUAAGGUUGCUUGAUCUGGGGUCGCUACCAACUCGCAACCCGACAACUUGCAAAGCGACUGCGCUCGGAGAAGACUCAUUGAAACGCCGGGGGACGCGGGUUCGAUUCCCGCCACCUCCACUA